Molecule: non-coding RNA, 132 nt
Organism: Triticum aestivum (bread wheat)
Lineage: Eukaryota; Viridiplantae; Streptophyta; Magnoliopsida; Poales; Poaceae
Source: Rfam
UGAGUACCCUCCGUUCGAAAAUACUUGUCAUGAAAAUGCAUAAACAAGAUGUAUCUGAAACUAAAAUACGUCUAGAUACAUCUCAUUUUAUCCAUUUUGAUGACAAGUAUUUUCGGACGGAGGGAGUAGUAA